AGUCAUACGCUCGUCUCAAAGAUUAAGCCAUGCAUGUGUAAGUAUAAAUAAUUCUACUUUGAAACUGCGAAUGGCUCAUUAUAUCAGUUAUAGUUUAUUAGAAAUAAUUUACUACUUGGAUAACCGUAGUAAUUCUAGGGCUAAUACAUGAGUAAAUCCUCGACUUUGAAGAGGUGUGUUUAUUAGUAUGAAAACCAUAUGCUUUUGCAUAAUAGUGAGUAAUAAUAACCUUUCAUAUCGUAUGUUGUAAUAACGAUAGUUCUUUCAAGUUUCUGCCCUAUCAGCUUUCGAUGGUAGUGCAUUGGACUACCAUGGCAGUAACGGGUAACGAAGAAUUUGGGUUCGAUUUCGGAGAGGGAGCCUGAGAGAUGGCUACCACAUCCAAGGAAGGCAGCAGGCGCGUAAAUUACCCAAUCCUGACAUAGGGAGGUAGUGACAAUAAAUCACAAUGCGGGACUUUUAGUUUUGCAAUUGGAUUGAGAACAAUGUAAAAGAGUUAUCGAUAAACAAUUGGAGGGCAAGUCUGGUGCCAGCAGCCGCGGUAAUUCCAGCUCCAAUAGCGUAUAUUAA
This 570-nucleotide ribosomal RNA is filed under the name Blastocystis sp. RNAcentral's name for it is "SSU rRNA". It matches the Rfam family "Eukaryotic small subunit ribosomal RNA", at positions 21 to 607 of the family's 1831-position model. Lineage: Eukaryota; Bigyra; Opalinata; Blastocystidae. The record is from RNAcentral.